RNAcentral lists this ribosomal RNA (456 nucleotides) under uncultured bacterium. Its description in RNAcentral is "bacterial SSU rRNA". It matches the Rfam family "Bacterial small subunit ribosomal RNA", at positions 340 to 789 of the family's 1533-position model. The record is from RNAcentral.
UACGGAAGGCAGCAGUGGGGAAUAUUGCACAAUGGGCGAAAGCCUGAUGCAGCUAUGCCGCGUGUAUGAAGAAGGCCUUCGGGUUGUAAAGUACUUUCAGUCGUGAGGAAGGUGUUAAGGUUAAUAACCUUAGCAAUUGACGUUAGCGACAGAAGAAGCACCGGCUAACUCCGUGCCAGCAGCCGCGGUAAUACGGAGGGUGCGAGCGUUAAUCGGAAUUACUGGGCGUAAAGGGCACGCAGGCGGUUAAUUAAGUUGGAUGUGAAAUCCCCGGGCUUAACCUGGGAAUGGCAUUCAAGACUGGUUAGCUAGAGUCUUGUAGAGGGGGUAGAAUUCCAUGUGUAGCGGUGAAAUGCGUAGAGAUGUGGAGGAAUACCGGUGGCGAAGGCGGCCCCUGGACAAAGACUGACGCUCAUGUGCGAAAGCGUGGGGAGCAAACAGGGAUUAGAUACCCGU